CCCACCCUGUCUCAUGGGUAGUUUAGCUCAACUAGUACAUGUAAUUAGUAAUCCCUCCAUAUAAUUAGUAUUUUUGUUGUUAUUAGAUGAUAAAAUAUGAAUAGUACUUUACUCAUGACUUAUGUUUUUAAUUUUUUUAAAAAAAUUUUUAAAUAAGAUGGACGGUUAAAGUUGGACGUGAAAAAUCAUAGCUGCACUUAAA
This is a microRNA precursor of Oryza sativa Indica Group (long-grained rice), 202 nucleotides long. It matches the Rfam family "MIR812 microRNA precursor family". The record is from Rfam. NCBI's taxonomy places the organism in Eukaryota, Viridiplantae, Streptophyta, Magnoliopsida, Poales, Poaceae.